Molecule: unclassified non-coding RNA, 391 nt
Filed under: soil metagenome
Description: partial contains 5.8S ribosomal RNA, internal transcribed spacer 2, and large subunit ribosomal RNA
Rfam family: 5.8S ribosomal RNA (bases 1-122)
Source: RNAcentral
GAUGAAGAACGUAGCGAAAUGCGAUACUUGGUGUGAAUUGCAAAAUCCCGUGAACCAUCGAGUCUUUGAACGCAAGUUGCGCCCGAAGCCAUUAGGCCGAGGGCACGCCUGCCUGGGCGUCACACGUCGUUGCCCCCCCAUCUACUCCUUCGGGAUUGCGGGGGGCGGAUGAUGGCCUCUCGUGCGCCUCGUCGCGCGGUUGGCCUAAAUGCCAAGUCCUCGGCGACGCACGCCACGACAAUCGGUGGUUGCGAAACCUCGGUUGCCUGUCGUGUGCGGUCGUCGCGCAUCGAGGGCUCGAAAAAAUUGCCGGGCUUCGGCUCGACUUUCAACGCGACCCCAGGUCAGGCGGGGUUACCCGCUGAAUUUAAGCAUAUCAAUAAGCGGAGGA